Molecule: long non-coding RNA, 233 nt
Filed under: Brassica napus (rape)
Lineage: Eukaryota; Viridiplantae; Streptophyta; Magnoliopsida; Brassicales; Brassicaceae
Description: long non-coding RNA (BNAP_LNC003282)
Source: RNAcentral
AUGGUGAGUGUUAAAAAUAUAGAGGUGAUAUAGGCUUUUGAAGGCAUCCGAGAAAGAAGAAAAAAAAUACGAGAGCUAGGGAAAUAGAGAGAGACAAUAGAAUCAAUAGUUAAGGUUAUGGUUCUUAAGGAAAACUUGUGAAUUAUAUUUUGUUUUUGUAAGGAAACCAUGUGAAUAAAGAGAGAGAGUUUUGAUAUUGAUUUCAUUCUAAGUUUAAGCACUAAGAAAAUGUU